CUAAAUUUUAUUCAAGGUUAAACAUAUCGUUUCAAAUUCAAAAUAAUAUACAUAUUUUUACUGUUUUUAUUUUUAGAAAAAUCAUUUUUAUCAGUUAAUAUUUCUUGCCUUAUUAGGUGUUUUGUGCUAAAAAUAGCUUAAGAAGGAAAUCGACAUCAAGAUAUGAAAUAUCUGAUAAAAUAAUAGUAUAAAAACGGAGUCGAUUUCGUCAAUAUAUAAACAUAAUCAUAAUCUGCUCUUAACAGCACCUUUAUUUGCCAAUCUAAAAAACAAAUAACUAUUUGUUUUUAAUUUAUCUUUUGAAGUGAAAUUCCAAUCUUAUUCGAUAUGCAGCGUCCAGUAAACCACCCAAUGAUGACUUGUGGCGGACCAAACAGGCGGUAUUCAGUGCCACUAGAGAACACAUAUAACCCUAAUCGCGUGUACAAUAUGGGGCCCUGCUUCAGUCCACCAGCGCCUCCACAGUUCCAGCCAAGCCCUUGCUUCAUGACAGUUUCAUCUCUCAGAACUGCGUACCCAAACCAAAUGCCACCACCACGCCACGGUGGUCCAUGUUUUAAGUAAAGCACAUUACUGUUCUGAUUGUGAUAUCGGAAUGAAUCUCAACAGUUAGUCACGGUUUGAGCAAUACUUGUUACCCGUUCGAUUAUAUUUUAUUUUGUAAAAUUGACCAUCGAAUGGAUAAACGAAGAAUAAUAAUAAUUUAAUUUAAUUUAUAGGUAUACUGAUUUUAGUUCAGGUCUAAUAACUAUUCUAUGUAAGUUUUAUUUAUUUUAAGAUGUAUAUGUAUACGAACGUUAUAAAAUACAUUUGUCAAAUAAACUUGCCCGACUAGCCCGUUGGCACAGUUUGUAGUGGCCCUGCUUUCUGUUCCGCGGGUUGUGGGGUCGAUUCCCGCCUGAGUCUGGAUGUAAUAUAUUUAUUUAUAAAUGUAUUAUUUCAAUGUAUAUUUAUCAAAAAAAUAUAGUUAUAACAGUCGGCUGUUACUUGUAAUACAAACAUUAAGUUUCUUACCAUAGGAACAGACGACCGUAUAUGUAUGUUAUAUGACAUUUAUUAUUUAAACUGAUUGUAGACACUACUCUUUAAAAUUAUAAUAUUAGACAUCAAUCUAUCGUCUCUGUAAAUAAUUACUUAAAUAAAUAAUUGUAAAGCUACUCUAUUUUUUAUUUGCAAUAUCUGCAACCAAUAACUUACUCUGUUGAUAACCCACCGAACAUCUUAAAUGUUUAACACAACAUAUAUAUAUUUUAAUAAAAAAAAUUAAAUUAGAACUAGC
Molecule: unclassified non-coding RNA, 1279 nt
Filed under: Melitaea cinxia (Glanville fritillary)
Lineage: Eukaryota; Metazoa; Arthropoda; Insecta; Lepidoptera; Nymphalidae
Description: misc RNA ENSMCXG00005018554.1
Source: RNAcentral